Molecule: ribosomal RNA, 253 nt
Filed under: uncultured bacterium
Lineage: Bacteria
Description: partial 16S ribosomal RNA
Rfam family: Bacterial small subunit ribosomal RNA
Source: RNAcentral
UCCGGAGGGUGCAAUCGUUAUCCGGAUUCACUGGGUUUAAAGGGAGCGUAGGCGGAAUAAUAAGUCAGUGGUGAAAGCCCCGGGCUCAACUUGGGAAUUGCCAUUGAUACUGUUAUUCUUGAGUUCGGUUGAGGUAGGCGGAAUGUUGCAUGUAGCGGUGAAAUGCUUAGAUAUGCAACAGAACACCGAUUGCGAAGGCAGCUUACCAAGCCGACACUGACGCUGAGGCUCGAAAGCGUGGGGAUAAAACAGG